CUACGGGGGAUGCGAGCGUUAUCCGGAUUUAUUGGGUUUAAAGGGUGCGUAGGCUGUGCGUUAAGUCAGGGGUGAAAUGCCGUCGCUCAACGACGGAGCUGCCCUUGAUACUGGCGUGCUGGAGUACGGAUGCCGUUGGAGGAAUGAGUGGUGUAGCGGUGAAAUGCUUAGAUAUCACUCAGAACACCGAUUGCGAAGGCAUCUGACGAAUCCGUCACUGACGCUGAGGCACGAAAGCGUGGGGAUAGAACAGGAUUAGAUACCCUGGUAUUCCACGCCGUAAACGAUGAUGACUAACCGUCGGCGAUAGACAGCCGGUGGCCAAGCGAAAGCGAUAAGUCAUCCACCUGGGGAGUACGUCGGCAACGAUGAAACUCAAAGGAAUUGACGGGG
This 393-nucleotide ribosomal RNA is filed under the name uncultured bacterium. RNAcentral's name for it is "partial 16S ribosomal RNA". It matches the Rfam family "Bacterial small subunit ribosomal RNA", at positions 523 to 918 of the family's 1533-position model. The record is from RNAcentral.